This 497-nucleotide ribosomal RNA is filed under the name uncultured bacterium. RNAcentral's name for it is "partial 16S ribosomal RNA". It matches the Rfam family "Bacterial small subunit ribosomal RNA", at positions 28 to 507 of the family's 1533-position model. The record is from RNAcentral.
GAUGAACGCUGGCGGCGUGCCUAAUACAUGCAAGUCGAGCGAACAGACGAGGAGCUUGCUCCUCUGACGUUAGCGGCGGACGGGUGAGUAACACGUGGAUAACCUACCUAUAAGACUGGGAUAACUUCGGGAAACCGGAGCUAAUACCGGAUCAUAUAUUGAACCGCAUGGUUCAAUAGUGAAAGACGGUUUUGCUGUCACUUAUAGAUGGAUCCGCGCCGCAUUAGCUAGUUGGUAAGGUAACGGCUUACCAAGGCAACGAUGCGUAGCCGACCUGAGAGGGUGAUCGGCCACACUGGAACUGAGACACGGUCCAGACUCCUACGGGAGGCAGCAGUAGGGAAUCUUCCGCAAUGGGCGAAAGCUUGACGGAGCAACGCCGCGUGAGUGAUGAAGGUCUUCGGAUCGUAAAGCUCUGUUAUUAGGGAAGAACAAAUGUGUAAGUAACUAUGCACGUCUUGACGGUACCUAAUCAGAAAGCCACGGCUAACUACGUG